UAGAUAGUAUAACUCUUUACGAUGGAUAUCUUGGCUCUUGAAUCGAUGAAGAACGCAGCGAAAUGCGAUAAGUAAUGCGAAUUGCAGAACUCUGUGAGUCAUCAAAUCUUUGAACGCAUAUUGCACUUCCUACUUGGGAGUAUACUUGUUUGAGUGUUGUGAAAGGUAAAUAUCUAGGGUUGGGCUCUAGAUGAAGGUUGGAGUUAGCUUUGCUCUCUCUUAAAUAUAUGUAGAUUGGUGAUAUGAGGUAAAUGAGGUAAUUACCACAUUUGUCUUGUGUCAUCAUCCUAUAGCAGCAUUUGAUGCACCCACUUUCAACCUCAAAUCAAGUAAGAGGACCUGCUGAAUUGAAGCAUCUAACUAAGCAGAGGAAAAGAAAAUAACAAUGAUUCUCCUAGUAACGGCGAGUGAAUAGGGAAUAGCCCAAACUUAAUCAGUAUCUUGUAUACUGAGUUGUAGUGUGAGGAUUCUUAGAAUGGUUUGCACAUACAUCGUAUAAUUUGAUUGGAAUAUCAAGUCAGAGAAGGUGAUAACCCUGUAGCAAAAUGGUGUAUAUUGAUCUAGGAAUCUUGGAGUCGAGUUGUUUGGGAAUGCAACUCGAAGUGGGUGGUGAACUCCAUCUAAGGCUAAAUAUGUUCAAGAGACCGAUAGCGAACAAGUACCGUGAGGGAAAGAUGAAAAGAACUUUGAGAAAAGAGUGAAAUAGUACUUGAAAUCGUAAAGAGGUUAAGCGGAGUUGGUGGGUAAGAUACUAUAAUGUACUAUAUUCUAGUAGAGUAUGGCUUAUUAUNNNNNNNNNNNNNNNNNNCCCACUCAUACCCUACAUCUCCGUCCCGUCUUGAAACACGGACCAAGGAGUCUAUCCUAUAUGCAAGUUGUAUGGUGGUAAACCAUAAAGCGUAAUGAAAGUAAGAGGUGUGAAAGUUGUAAAAGUGUCAACAUCUGCCGAUCUUAAUUCUUUGAUGCAAGAUUCGAGUAUGAGCAUAUAGGGUGGGACCCGAAAGAUGGUGAACUAUGCCUGAAUAGGACGAAGCCAGGGGAAACUCUGGUGGAGGUUCGAGUGGAUUCUAACGUGCAAAUUGAUCUUUAAAUUUGGGUAUAGGGGCGAAAGACUAAUCGAACCAUCUAGUAGCUGGUUCAUUCCGAAAUUUCCCUCAGGAUAGCUGCAACUUAUGAAAUAGUUUUAUGAGGUAAAGCGAAUGAUUAGAGGCUUCUGGGAUGGAAUAUCCUGGACCUAUUCUCAAACUUUCAAUGGGUAAGAAAAGUAUGAUGUUUCAUUAAUCAUACUGUAUGAAUAUGAGUUGCAAGUGGGCCAUUCCGGGUAAGCUGGACUGGCAAUGCGGGAUCAACCGAACGCUAUGUUACGGCGCCGAAUUCUUCGCUCAGUUCGAUGGAAAAGGUGUUAGUUCAUCUAGACAGCAGGACGGUGGCCAUGGAAGUCGGAAUCCGCUAAGGAGUGUGUAACAACUCACCUGCCGAAUGAAGUAGCCCUGAAAAUGGAUGGCGCUCAAGCGAAGAGCCUAUACAUAGCCAUUAUUGUUAGGAUUGCACAAUAAUGAGUAGGAAUGCGUGAUGAAUGUGGCGAAGUAUAAUGUGUGAACAUAUAUGGAACAUUCAUUAGUGCAGAUCUUGGUGGAAGUAGCAAAUAUUCAAAUGAGAUCUUUGAAGACUGAAGUGGAGAAAGGUUCCAUAGGAAUAGUGAUUAUCUAUGGGUUAGUCGAUCCUAAGAGAUAGGUGAAAUCCGUUGAAAGGCCAGAUUGUUGGCGUCUAUCGAAAGGGAAUCAGGUUAAUAUUCCUGAACCAAAGAGAAGGGUAAACGGUAACGUGUAUAAGUCUCAAGACAUUGAUGUUAUUCCCGGGAAGAGUUAUCUUUUCUUGUUAACGGGUGUGGAGUGCUUGGAAUCGACUCAGUCGGCGAGAAGCAUUAACAUCGGGUAAAGUACUAUACAUUUGUGUAGUAUCUGGUGCAAUGACAUGAAUCCUUGAAAAUUGAGACUUUUGGUUUCCCGAAACUUUGGUCGUACUAAUAACCGCAUCAGGUCUCCAAGGUGAAUAGCCUCUAGUUAAUAGAAUAAUGUAGAUAAGGGAAGUCGGCAAAUUAGAUCCGUAACUUCGGGAUAAGGAUUGGCUCUGAGGGCUAAGUGGGUUCGAGGUGUUGGGGGCUGAAGUUAGGUGUGGAGUUGGAUGUUUUGAGUCGCCUCGGUGAUUCGAAAUGGCCGAGUCUAAUGCCUCUCAUCUCCUCCUGCAUCUACCACUAUGAAUAGCUAACUCAGAACUGGUACGGACAAGGGGAAUCCGACUGUUUAAUUAAAACAAAGCAUUGUGAUAGUGUGAAAGAUAUCUUGACACAAUGUGAAUUCUGCCCAGUGCUCUGAAUGUCAAAGUGGCGUAAUUCAACCAAGCGCGGGUAAACGGCGGGAGUAACUAUGACUCUCUUAAGGUAGCCAAAUGCCUCGUCAUCUAAUUAGUGACGCGCAUGAAUGGAUUAAUGAGAUUCCCACUGUCCCUAUCUACUAUCUAGCGAAACCACAGCCAAGGGAACGGGCUUGGAAAUAUCAGCGGGGAAAGAAGACCCUGUUGAGCUUGACUCUAGUUUAACAUUGUGAAAUGACUUUAGAGGUGUAGCAUAGGUGGGAGGUUCGCCGAUCCUGAAAUACCACUACUCUGAAUGUUGUUUUACUUAUUCCAUGGAAGAGGGUACUUGUGUAUGCAAGUGUUAAGAUGGAAACUGGUAACAGCGACCUCUUUGGGAGACAUUGUUAGGUGGGGAGUUCGGCUGGGGCGGCACAUCUGUUAAAGAAUAACACAGGUGUCCUAAGAUGAGCUCAAUAAGAACAGAAAUCUUAUGUAGAACAAAAGGGUAAAAGCUCAUUUGAUUUUGAUUUUCAGUAUGAAUACAAACUAUUAAAGUAUGGCCUAUCGAUCCUUUACAUUAAGGGAGGUCCUUGGUAGAGGUGUCAGAAAAGUUACCACAGGGAUAACUGGCUUGUGGCAGCCAAGCGUUCAUAGCGACGUUGCUUUUUGAUUCUUCGAUGUCGGCUCUUCCUAUCAUUGCGAAGCAGAAUUCGCCAAGUGUUGGAUUGUUCACCCAUUAAUAGGGAACGUGAGCUGGGUUUAGACCGUCGUGAGACAGGUUAGUUUUACCCUACUGAUGAAGUGAUUGUCGUAACAGUAAUCUAACUUAGUACGAGAGGAACCGUUAGUUCAGAUAAUUGGUAAAUCCAUUUAACUGAAAAGUUAGUGAUGGGAAGCUAUCAUCUGUGGGAUUAUGACUGAACGCCUCUAAGUCAGAAUCCUUGCUGAAUUCAUACGACGAUUCUCUGAAUAAGAGGGACAGGUUGUAUUUCACGCAAGUAUACUUUUUACGAUAGUAUUAAGGAAAGCGAGUUGUGGAGUAUUGAAUGAAAUUGAUCUGUCAUUACAAUCGUUUGUAGACGACUUAUUGUAAAGAAGGUACUGUAAGAGUAUGAGCUGGCUUGUUCCAGCGAGUCUUUGA
RNAcentral lists this ribosomal RNA (3496 nucleotides) under Blastocystis sp. subtype 8. Its description in RNAcentral is "eukaryotic LSU rRNA". It matches the Rfam family "Eukaryotic large subunit ribosomal RNA". Lineage: Eukaryota; Bigyra; Opalinata; Blastocystidae. The record is from RNAcentral.